UGAACGCUGGCGGCGUGCUUAACACAUGCAAGUCGAACGGUCGCAAGACUAGUGGCGCACGGGUGAGGAACACGUAGCUUAUCUGCCCCGAAGUGUGGGAUAACGCUCCGAAAGGAGUGCUAAUACCGCAUAAGCUCCCAGGCUAUAGAGGCCCGGGAGAAAAGGCGCAAGUCGCUUUGGGAGGAGGCUGCGGCCCAUCAGGUAGUUGGUGCGGUAAUGGCGCACCAAGCCAACGACGGGUAGGGGACCUGAGAGGGUGAUCCCCCACACUGGGACUGAGACACGGCCCAGACUCCUACGGGAGGCAGCAGUGAGGAAUAUUGCCCAAUGGACGAAAGUCUGAGGCAGCGACGCCGCGUGGGUGAUGAAGGCCUUCGGGUCGUAAAGCCCUUUUCUGCGUGACGAGAAAAAGGACGGUAGCGCAGGAAAAAGUCUCGGCUAACUACGUGCCAGCAGCCGCGGUAAAACGUAGGAGGCAAGCGUUAUCCGGAGUUACUGGGCGUAAAGAGUGCGUAGGCGGAUCUGUAAGUGGGUGGUGAAAGCGCCCGGCUAAACCGGGCGAGGUCCAUUCAGACUGCAGGUCUAGAGGCGGAUAGAGGGGUGCGGAAUUCCGGGUGUAGCGGUGAAAUGUGUAGAGAUCCGGAGGAACACCAGUGGUGCAGACGGCGCCCUGGGUCCGAACUGACGCUGAAGCACGAAAGCGUGGGGAGCGAACGGGAUUAGA
Molecule: ribosomal RNA, 724 nt
Filed under: uncultured bacterium
Lineage: Bacteria
Description: bacterial SSU rRNA
Rfam family: Bacterial small subunit ribosomal RNA
Source: RNAcentral